RNAcentral lists this ribosomal RNA (433 nucleotides) under uncultured bacterium. RNAcentral describes it as "partial 16S ribosomal RNA". It matches the Rfam family "Bacterial small subunit ribosomal RNA", at positions 29 to 507 of the family's 1533-position model. The record is from RNAcentral.
AAUGAACGCUGGCGGCAUGCCUAACACAUGCAAGUCGAACGAAGGCUUCGGCCUUAGUGGCGCACGGGUGCGUAACGCGUGGGAAUCUGCCCUUGGGUUCGGAAUAACAGAUAGAAAUGACUGCUAAUACCGGAUGAUGUCGUACGACCAAAGAUUUAUCGCCAAAGGAUGAGCCCGCGUAGGAUUAGCUGGUUGGUGGGGUAAAGGCCUACCAAGGCGGGGAUCCUUAGCUGGUCGGAGAGGAUGAUCAACCACACUGGAACUGAGACACGGCCCAGUCCCGGAGGGGAGGCAGCAGUAGGGAGUAUUGUAGACGGAACGAAGGCCUAGCCCAGCAGCGCGGCGUGAGAGAGGAAGCCCUUAGGAUUGUAAAUCCCUUUUACCCGGAGUGUUAAUGACGGUACUGGGUAAAGAAGCACCGGCUAACUACGUG